GACUCGUAAAACCGGUCAGGGUUCCUGGACCGGUGUUUCGGCAGAGGAGCUCGGAGAGACGAACAGUCAGCACGAUGCCUUUGCGAGGAGUUGUUGUGAUGCUGGCGUGUGCGCCGUUCCUGGCCCAAGUGUUUACGAGUGCGUCCGAUUGCGGCUGGCGGAGAUACCAGUGCACCAGCGGGCAGUGCAUUGCCGCCCAGUAUCUUUGUGACGGCGAAAAGGAGUGUGCCGACGGCAGCGACGAGUCGGAGGCUGCGUGCGGCCGCACCCCCACCACUCAACUUCCCGUCGGUAACGUGGUGACGGUGAAGGUUCGGAGGGGGAAUGAGCAUGAAGACGUUAAUUUCCACAUAUGCAGCAGCGCCGCCUGUAGUUCACUAAGCCUUGCGGGACAUUCACCCAAGAAGUCGCUGCGGUACAUCGCCUACGUCAAGAACAACGCGCAGGGCGACCACGGCCAGAAACACCACGAGACGUUUCAAAAAGACCCCAACGGUUGGACCUCGUUCCCCGAGGGCGAGUUGGUGUUCGAGGUGCAGCACCGGCCCAACGAGCUGGCCGUCUGGCUGGCGGGCCACCCGGACAAGGCGGCCGUGGUGCCCGUCCAGGAGCCCAGCGACAAGCUGCUGGUGAAGCAUAACUAUUGGAGCGUAUCCAUGCCCGUCGAGUUCAUCGGCAACAAAGCCGCUUGCAGCGACACGGAGUUCCGGUGCCUCGACGGGGACUGCAUCGACUCGGUACGUCGCUGUGACGGCCAGAAGCACUGCGGCGACAACAGUGACGAGGACGUGAAACUGUGUGACGGGGCCCCCUCCACCGUGCUCCCCAAGGGCAACGUGGUGACGGUGGGCGUCUACAGGAAGCAGUUCCAUGGGGACGUCGAGUUCCACCUCUGCACGAGCUCCGACUGCAGCGUGCUGCGCGUGGCCGGCAACGACGCCGCCUCCAACCUCGCCUACACCGCCAUCGUCAAGGCCAACGCACGUGGCGGCAAUGGAACCAACUACGCCCAGACGUUCGAGAAGGACGCUGUGAGCUGGCGGUGGUUCCCCGAGGGCGAGGUGGAGUUCGAGGCGCAGCACCGCCCCUCCGAGCUGGCCGUCUGGCUCAGGGGCCACCCCGACAAGGCGGCCGCGGUGCCGGUGGAGGAAAAGAAGUACAUGCUGCUGCGCGUGCUGCCGCGCCACCGUAGGACGGACAUGCCGGUCACCUUCGAAGGCAACGCGCCGGCGUGCGGGGACUCGCAGUUCCGCUGCGGCGACGGCGAGUGCGUGGCGGCAGCGCUGCGCUGCGACGGCAGGAGGGACUGCGUGGACGGCAGCGACGAGGACGACAUUCUCGCAAUGUGUCAAUGGGUGGCUGCCCCGGCGAGUACCAAUUGCACGUUUAGACACUACCAAUGCACCAGCGGGCAAUGCAUCGACUCGGAUCUGCGAUGUGACGGCCGAAAGCAAUGUGACGACGGCAGUGACGAGUCGGACUCAGCGUGCGGCCGCCCCACCACCACGCAACUUCUCGUCGGAAACGUGGUGACGGUGAAGGUGCAGAAGAAGAAAGUGCAAGGCAACGUUAGAAUCAACCUGUGCAGCAGCACCGCCUGCAGUGGACUUUCCAUUGGGGGAUCCUCAGCCAACAAGUCGUUGGCGUACGUCGCCUACGUCCGCAGCAACGAGCGGGGUGACUUCGGCCGGAAACACCACCAGAUGUUCGAGAACGACUUCAAGGGUUGGACUUCGUUCCCCGAGGGCGAGUUGGUGUUCGAGGUGCAGCACCGGCCCAACGAGCUGGCCGUCUGGCUGGCGGGCCACCCGGACAAGGCGGCCGUGGUGCCCGUCCAGGAGCCCAGCGACAAGCUGCUGGUGACGCCUUACCUUCGGAGCUACGUCAUGCCCGUCGAGUUCAUCGGCAACAAAGCCGAAUGCAGCGACACGGAGUUCCGGUGCCUCGACGGGGACUGCAUCGACUCGGUACGUCGCUGUGACGGCCAUAAGCACUGCGGUGACAACAGUGACGAGGACGUGAAACUGUGUGACGGGGCAAUUGUAGGCUGCGGCAGAGGCGGCCCGGGCCCUGCGACCCUCGUGCAGAACGGCAACAAGACCUCCAUCGAGUCCGUGCCGUGGCACGCGGGCAUCUUCGUCGAGGCCAAUGGCCGCCUCCAGAACGUGUGUGGCGGCAGUCUCGUGUCCCCGUGCAUCGUUGUUACAGCUGCGCAUUGUCUUUUGCAAGGAAAGAUAUUUGUCGCUCUGGGCAAAUUUCUCAGUGGCUGGCAUUCUGAAUCCGGGGAAGACGUUCACAAGACUGAGGCAUGCACGAAAAUAAUGGGUCAAAAGAAUUAUCAAGCAUCCUCACUAUUUGGGCUACAUAUCCAAGCUGGUUUCCGACAUAGCAGUGCUUGAACUGAAAAACUGCAGCCCCAUCAGCAAGAAAAUUUCACCAAUCUGCAUUGAUAAGAAUGUGAAGCCCGUCUUGUCAGCUGACGUCAAGGUCGCUGGCUGGGGCAACGAGACGACCGUCUUGACGGACCUGGCGUCCGUGACCCUGAGGCAGCUCACUUUCGACGACUGUUUGGCCCUGAUGACAAAGAAUGGUCCGCACGUUGCUUACGUGACGCUCGACAAGUUUUGCG
RNAcentral lists this unclassified non-coding RNA (2629 nucleotides) under Thrips palmi. RNAcentral's name for it is "uncharacterized LOC117647989, transcript variant X6". Lineage: Eukaryota; Metazoa; Arthropoda; Insecta; Thysanoptera; Thripidae. The record is from RNAcentral.